RNAcentral lists this long non-coding RNA (206 nucleotides) under Manihot esculenta (cassava). Its description in RNAcentral is "long non-coding RNA (MESC_LNC005450)". The record is from RNAcentral. Lineage: Eukaryota; Viridiplantae; Streptophyta; Magnoliopsida; Malpighiales; Euphorbiaceae.
UGGUCUAACUUUUCCGUUUACCUCCUUCUUUACCGAGGUUUUCCAAUAUUUCAGGAUAACUCCCCGAAUGCUAUCCCCAAAUUCUAUCUUGUUCAUGUGUUGCUUUGAAUCCAUUUGCUUGAGCUGGGGAUUUACGCCCACGGCUCAUCUAUUCGUGACCUUUUUUCGUCUAGUCAGAGCAAGUAACCAUUUUUAUUACUUUUCCC